GACUCUUUUUUUUUUUUUUUUUUCUCGUGCGUCGAUGAGAACGCACCAGCUGCGAGAAGUAAUGUGAAUGCAGGACCAUUGAUCAUCGAUACUUCGAACGCACAUGCGGCCCCGGGAGUUCUUCCCGGGGCACGCCUGUCUGAGGUCG
RNAcentral lists this ribosomal RNA (148 nucleotides) under Petromyzon marinus (sea lamprey). RNAcentral's name for it is "5.8S ribosomal RNA (ENSPMAG00000011941.1)". The stretch from base 24 to 148 matches the Rfam family "5.8S ribosomal RNA", at positions 25 to 154 of the family's 154-position model. Rfam says of the family: 5.8S ribosomal RNA (5.8S rRNA) is a component of the large subunit of the eukaryotic ribosome. It is transcribed by RNA polymerase I as part of the 45S precursor that also contains 18S and 28S rRNA. Functionally, it is thought that 5.8S rRNA may be involved in ribosome translocation. Lineage: Eukaryota; Metazoa; Chordata; Hyperoartia; Petromyzontiformes; Petromyzontidae. The record is from RNAcentral.